Molecule: ribosomal RNA, 385 nt
Filed under: uncultured bacterium
Lineage: Bacteria
Description: bacterial SSU rRNA
Rfam family: Bacterial small subunit ribosomal RNA
Source: RNAcentral
UGGGGAAUCUUCCGCAAUGGACGAAAGUCUGACGGAGCAACGCCGCGUGAGUGAUGACGGUCUUCGGAUUGUAAAGCUCUGUUAAUCGGGACGAAAGAGCUCUGUGUGAAUAAUGCAGAGAAGUGACGGUACCGGAAUAGAAAGCCACGGCUAACUACGUGCCAGCAGCCGCGGUAAUACGUAGGUGGCAAGCGUUGUCCGGAAUUAUUGGGCGUAAAGCGCGCGCAGGCGGGUUUUUAAGUCUGUCUUAAAAGUUCGGGGCUUAACCCCGUGAGGGGAUGGAAACUGGAAACCUAGAGUAUCGGAGAGGAAAGCGGAAUUCCUAGUGUAGCGGUGAAAUGCGUAGAUAUUAGGAAGAACACCAGUGGCGAAGGCGGCUUUCUGG